Molecule: unclassified non-coding RNA, 225 nt
Filed under: Hevea brasiliensis (rubber tree)
Lineage: Eukaryota; Viridiplantae; Streptophyta; Magnoliopsida; Malpighiales; Euphorbiaceae
Source: RNAcentral
GGGAGAGCUGAUGUUAGCUGUCUGGAUAGGGAAUCAAGCAGAUGAUGCAUUUUCGGUUGCUUGGCAUGCUGAUACUGCUGCUGUUAGUAGUCAAAGUGUAUCGAACACACGUUCUAAGAUAUAUGUAUCACCAAGACUCUGGUAUCUUAGAGUUGAUGUGAUUGGGGCACAGGAUUUGGUGCCUACAGAUAGGAAUAGGAAACCACAAGUUUAUGUAAAGGCUAU